Conger conger (European conger) is the source of this 506-nucleotide long non-coding RNA. RefSeq lists it as uncharacterized. Lineage: Eukaryota; Metazoa; Chordata; Actinopteri; Anguilliformes; Congridae. The transcript is spliced from 4 exons. The record is from RefSeq and is a predicted model, not a curated record.
UCGCACUGAAGGGAGAACAAUAUGGAAGUGCGACCUGGAGUGAGAGAUUGAGAGAAAAACGCGGAGAUUUUCAGCCACAGUGAACCCCAAAGCCACACACUGACUCGUUCUCCGUAAAAUGAUUAGCUGCUGUCACACUAGGAACGCUUUCUGACUAAUGACAAUGUUGGGUAUGUACGUGCCGGACAGGUUCGUACUGAAGUCCUCCGAGGUCCAAGAUGGAAUCGGGCUGUACACCGCCAGACGGGUGAAAAAGUUUCAGAGAAAACGCCGUCUAUUUCAGGGAAACUAGCCUGUCUGUGUCAGUCUGAGCAGUGAAAUGGCUGAAGGCAGAGGUUUACUGGAUCAAGACUAGUUGAGCUGUUCGAUCUGUCUGGAUCUACUGAAGACACAGUUACUGCAGUCUCAGCAACAGCAGAGUGGACUGAGAAACAGGUUGGAUUUCUUGUUUCUGUCCUGAUUUGGAUCAGUUUCGAGGCUUGCUAAUACAGACACCUGCCACGCUC